This 150-nucleotide microRNA precursor is filed under the name Marmota monax (woodchuck). Lineage: Eukaryota; Metazoa; Chordata; Mammalia; Rodentia; Sciuridae. The record is from RNAcentral.
GCCAAAAUGAUUUCUGAAAAAAUGUAUGCUUCUUAUUUAUUAUAUUUUACCAGCAUAUAAUAAAUAUAUGCUGGUAAAAUAUAAUAAAUAUAAUGUAUAAGUAAAAUAUAAUAAAUAAGAAGCAUGCAUUUUUUCAGAAAUCAUUUUGGC